Molecule: ribosomal RNA, 444 nt
Filed under: uncultured bacterium
Lineage: Bacteria
Description: bacterial SSU rRNA
Rfam family: Bacterial small subunit ribosomal RNA
Source: RNAcentral
UCGGGAAUUUUGGGCAAUGGGCGAAAGCCUGACCCAGCAACGCCGCGUGAAGGAUGAAGUAUUUCGGUAUGUAAACUUCGAAAGAAUAGGAAGAAUAAAUGACGGUACUAUUUAUAAGGUCCGGCUAACUACGUGCCAGCAGCCGCGGUAAUACGUAGGGACCAAGCGUUGUUCGGAUUUACUGGGCGUAAAGGGCGCGUAGGCGGCAAUUCAAGUCAUCUGUGAAAUCUCCGGGCUUAACUCGGAACGGUCAGAUGAUACUGCUUUGCUAGAGUGCAGAAGGGGCAAUCGGAAUUCUUGGUGUAGCGGUGAAAUGCGUAGAUAUCAAGAGGAACACCUGAGGUGAAGACGGGUUGCUGGGCUGACACUGACGCUGAGGCGCGAAAGCCAGGGGAGCAAACGGGAUUAGAUACCCCCGUAGUCCCUGAGCGGGCUGGCAAGGCG